GUUCCCCCUGGGUUUGAAUGCGGUCAUUCUUUGAAUCUUUUGAAAAAGGAAUCAUCUCUCAUCCCUAGGAUUGAAUGGAAGUGCCCUCCAAAACUUGUUAUGUGUCACAACUGGCAUGUCGCAGCUGGUGAAGAAAGCCGGGAGGCAGAGGCUCAAAAACUGAAAAUGGAAGUGCUUGAAGCAGUUUUUCUGCGCCCUUCUGCAAUUCCUCAUAGUCCCUCAAUUUCAUUGGCCAUAGAAGGGGAAUAUUAUGAUGAUAGCCACACUCCCAUCAUCCCUCUCACUCCUAUUGAAGAAGAGGCAGUGGCAGACUUACCAUCUGAUUUAUCUUCACCUUUGAACACUUCUGUAAACUCCCAGCCAUCAGCAUUGCCUCAGGAUUUGCUGCUGUCUGGAAUCCUAAAUCUUGCAGAAUAUAACAACCUUGCUCAAGAGCCACCAGCCAGUGAAAAACCAAUAGUUGGAAUAUCACCUGAUAUGGACGCUGAUGUAGUUACAGCUGCCUCUGCUGCAGCAACUGCUCUGAUGAAAAGCCUGGAGAAGGGAAGCUUGAUCGAUACUGAUUUGCUAGUUAAAAUCUUAAGUGACCCAAAAAUGAUUGAGAAACUGAUCAAUAACUGUCAAGCACCUAGCAUUGUGACCAGUGCAACCAUGAUUACAUCAAAGCCAGUAAAUAGAACAAUACUCCCAUCACGCCUUAAUCCUGCUAUGACUUCGGCUUUAACGCCUGCAGAAGGAAACUGGCAUAAUCUACGUGGUGGGUUGCAACCCACAUCGAAGCCUCCCCCAUCCUGCCUGAAAUCUACCAUACCUACAGCGCCAAUCCCUCCCAAUGGAUGUUUGCACUCUGCACUUGAUGAGAUGCUACCACCAGUCACUAGGAUGCCAGCACAACCGGACACUGAUCCAACAUCUAGAUCAAAGCAGGUUGCUCCAACUAUCACUUUAUCCAGGCCAGAAUCCAUCAACGUGUCGGCAACUAGGCCGAGGGUAGCAAACUUGUAUUCUUCAACUAACCAGGUGCAGUCUACAGUGAGUACCGUGAAACCCAAUCCUGUACCCAAUGUGGUACUUCCUUCUUUAGGCAUGAUGGCUCUUCAGCCGAAUGGUGCUCCGCAAACUAAAGUAGUGGCCAUGAAAACCAAUCCUAUAAAGGAUUUCAACUACAUUAAGAACCUUAUUAGGGAACAUGGAUCGGAAAAGAAGGAAAUGCAUGAGCGAAAUAUGUUACAUACUGGCCUUCAUCAUGAGCACUUUCAAAACCUGGAAUUUGCACAAAAUAUGAAUCAGAGAGAAACGAUACCCAGGUUUCAGAAGCCGUGCAUAUUCUAUAGAAGCUCAAGGGGAUGCCGGAAUGGCUCUAAUUGCCCUUACCAGCAUGAUUUGUCAUUCCAGUUUCAAACUGGUGGCUCAAUGGAGGCCCCUGGUGCUAAGAGAAUGAAAUUGGGUGGGGAGAUUACAGGAUGAACGUAACCAAUUGUGGUUCACUUGGACUUGGCCUGAGGUGUAAAUAGUAGGGGGCUUUUGAACACCGUUUUGGUAUAGGUUUUGCACACGAACGGAGAAAGGGAGAGAAUUGAUAUUUCUGAAUUUUGAAAUUCUUUUAAAUUUUUAAACCCAACUCAAAGUAGUUUAAGGCAAAACUGUGGUUUAGAUUUGGAAUUUUGAAUUCCAAAUGCUUCCUUAUUUGAUUUUUCUAAUGUCAAUUGAAUAGCAGGG
This 1719-nucleotide unclassified non-coding RNA is filed under the name Hevea brasiliensis (rubber tree). Lineage: Eukaryota; Viridiplantae; Streptophyta; Magnoliopsida; Malpighiales; Euphorbiaceae. The record is from RNAcentral.